Molecule: ribosomal RNA, 247 nt
Filed under: Pseudomonas aeruginosa
Lineage: Bacteria; Pseudomonadati; Pseudomonadota; Gammaproteobacteria; Pseudomonadales; Pseudomonadaceae
Description: partial 16S ribosomal RNA
Rfam family: Bacterial small subunit ribosomal RNA
Source: RNAcentral
GAACUGAAGAGUUUGAUCAUGGCUCAGAUUGAACGCUGGCGGCAGGCCUAACACAUGCAAGUCGAGCGGAUGAAGGGAGCUUGCUCCUGGAUUCAGCGGCGGACGGGUGAGUAAUGCCUAGGAAUCUGCCUGGUAGUGGGGGAUAACGUCCGGAAACGGGCGCUAAUACCGCAUACGUCCUGAGGGAGAAAGUGGGGGAUCUUCGGACCUCACGCUAUCAGAUGAGCCUAGGUCGGAUUAGCUAGUU